GAGGGUAUAGCCCAGUGGUAGAGCACAUGCUUAUGUAUAAGGUCCUGGGUUCAAUCCCCAGUGCCUCCA
RNAcentral lists this transfer RNA (69 nucleotides) under Camelus bactrianus (Bactrian camel). It matches the Rfam family "tRNA". From Rfam's summary of the family: Transfer RNA (tRNA) molecules are approximately 80 nucleotides in length. Their secondary structure includes four short double-helical elements and three loops (D, anti-codon, and T loops). Further hydrogen bonds mediate the characteristic L-shaped molecular structure. tRNAs have two regions of fundamental functional importance: the anti-codon, which is responsible for specific mRNA codon recognition, and the 3' end, to which the tRNAs corresponding amino acid is attached (by aminoacyl-tRNA synthetases). tRNAs cope with the degeneracy of the genetic code in two manners: having more than one tRNA (with a specific anti-codon) for a particular amino acid; and 'wobble' base-pairing, i.e. permitting non-standard base-pairing at the 3rd anti-codon position. RNAcentral also lists the same sequence under 2 other names. The record is from Rfam by way of RNAcentral. Lineage: Eukaryota; Metazoa; Chordata; Mammalia; Artiodactyla; Camelidae.